AUUUUCUUUAAAUUUAAAGAAUUUGGCGGUUGUUUAGUCUAAUCAGAGGAACCUGCUUUUGUUAUCGAUACAACACGUAAAAUCUUACUUAUUUUUGUUUUUAGUUUGUAUACCAUCAUUAUCAGAUAAUAUUAUAAAAAUAAAAUUAUUAAAUGUAAUUGUAUUAGUAAAAUUAGAUCAAGGUGCAGCUUAUAGGUAAGUUAAAGUGGGUUACAAUAGGGGCUACUUAGACGGAGAUAAAUAGGAAUUUAUUUUUAGGAAGGAGGAUUUGAUUGUAAUAUAAGUUUAAUAAGGUUAGGAGAUAAGAGCUCUAAACUAUGUACACAUCGCC
This 331-nucleotide ribosomal RNA is filed under the name Potamonautes sp. 9 SRD-2015. Its description in RNAcentral is "partial 12S ribosomal RNA". Lineage: Eukaryota; Metazoa; Arthropoda; Malacostraca; Decapoda; Potamonautidae. The record is from RNAcentral.